RNAcentral lists this transfer RNA (76 nucleotides) under Rheinheimera tangshanensis. RNAcentral describes it as "Pararheinheimera tangshanensis tRNA-Val". It matches the Rfam family "tRNA". From Rfam's summary of the family: Transfer RNA (tRNA) molecules are approximately 80 nucleotides in length. Their secondary structure includes four short double-helical elements and three loops (D, anti-codon, and T loops). The record is from RNAcentral. Lineage: Bacteria; Pseudomonadati; Pseudomonadota; Gammaproteobacteria; Chromatiales; Chromatiaceae.
GGAUGCUUAGCUCAGCUGGGAGAGCAUCGCCCUUACAAGGCGGGGGUCACUGGUUCGAACCCAGUAGCUUCCACCA